GACGAACGCUGGCGGCGUGCCUAAUACAUGCAAGUUGAGCGCUGAAGGUUGGUACUUGUCCCGACUGGAUGAGCAGCGAACGGGUGAGUAACGCGUGGGGAAUCUGCCUUUGAGCGGGGGACAACAUUUGGAAACGAAUGCUAAUACCGCAUAAAAACUUUAAACACAAGUUUUAAGUUUGAAAGAUGCAAUUGCAUCACUCAAAGAUGAUCCCGCGUUGUAUUAGCUAGUUGGUGAGGUAAAGGCUCACCAAGGCGAUGAUACAUAGCCGACCUGAGAGGGUGAUCGGCCACAUUGGGACUGAGACACGGCCCAAACUCCUACGGGAGGCAGCAGUAGGGAAUCUUCGGCAAUGGACGAAAGUCUGACCGAGCAACGCCGCGGGAGUGAAGAAGGGUGUCGGAUCGUAAAACUCUGUUGGUAGAGAAGAACGUUGGUGAGAGUGGAAAGCUCAUCAAGUGACGGUAACUACCCAGAAAGGGACGGCUAACUACGUG
This 497-nucleotide ribosomal RNA is filed under the name uncultured bacterium. RNAcentral describes it as "partial 16S ribosomal RNA". It matches the Rfam family "Bacterial small subunit ribosomal RNA", at positions 28 to 507 of the family's 1533-position model. The record is from RNAcentral.